RNAcentral lists this ribosomal RNA (448 nucleotides) under uncultured bacterium. RNAcentral's name for it is "partial 16S ribosomal RNA". It matches the Rfam family "Bacterial small subunit ribosomal RNA", at positions 338 to 795 of the family's 1533-position model. The record is from RNAcentral.
CCUACGGGUGGCUGCAGUGGGGAAUUUUGGACAAUGGGGGCAACCCUGAUCCAGCCAUGCCGCGUGAGUGAAGAAGGCCUUCGGGUUGUAAAGCUCUUUCGGACGGAACGAAAUCGCUUGGGCCAAUACCCUGAGUGGAUGACGGUACCGUAAGAAGAAGCACCGGCUAACUACGUGCCAGCAGCCGCGGUAAUACGUAGGGUGCGAGCGUUAAUCGGAGUUAGCGGGCGUAAAGCGUGCGCAGGCGGGUAAGCCCCGGGCUUAACCUGGGAAUUGCGCUUGGGACGGGGCGGCUAGAGUACGGCAGAGGGAGGUGGAAUUCCACGUGUAGCAGUGAAAUGCGUAGAGAUGUGGAGGAACACCGAUGGCGAAGGCAGCCUCCUGGGCCAGUACUGACGCUCAUGCACGAAAGCGUGGGGAGCAAACAGGAUUAGAUACCCCAGUAGUC